RNAcentral lists this unclassified non-coding RNA (334 nucleotides) under Hevea brasiliensis (rubber tree). The record is from RNAcentral. Lineage: Eukaryota; Viridiplantae; Streptophyta; Magnoliopsida; Malpighiales; Euphorbiaceae.
AAGUUAUUACACAAAGUUGCUUAUUAGGGGUGGAGAAUGCAAGAUCAUUUACUCCACCAACAUGAGCAUCAAUCUCUAAGUGCUGCCUUACAUCAUCACCACCCUGGUAAGAAUAUAUUUGUACAAUGUGCCUUGAGUAUGCAACUCCAAAUAAGGAGCCAUCAGGACUCCAAAUCACACGGUUCACAGACACACCAGGAUCUUUAACUAGAGCUGUCUGCAGAGGCAUUGAACAUGUGCUAAGAUCCCAAACUUUGAAGUUUCUUAACACCAAUCUCUCCCUAGAACCAACUUCCCACAGCCCAACAUCUCCCACAUUGGUACCAACUAGAAG